UCUUUCUUUUUCUUAAUGUAGCGCUUUCCAAAAUGCCGGUAUUGUCCCAUCUUGCCGUUACAGCUACCAGCUCAGCUCCUUCCAGGCAGCAUUGCAGCCCACUUUGGGAGACCAAUACGAACUGCAGUGUGUGACUGACAUCCAGGAACGGCAAAUCUUGGUGCAAAUCAAGGUUUCUCUUUCCACCAACUUCUCCACUGGCUGCAUUCAAAGGGGUUCCCAGGAUGGCUC
Anolis sagrei ordinatus is the source of this 231-nucleotide non-coding RNA. The record is from RefSeq and is a predicted model, not a curated record. Lineage: Eukaryota; Metazoa; Chordata; Lepidosauria; Squamata; Anolidae.